Molecule: non-coding RNA, 1258 nt
Organism: Macaca mulatta (Rhesus monkey)
Lineage: Eukaryota; Metazoa; Chordata; Mammalia; Primates; Cercopithecidae
Source: RefSeq, a predicted model, not a curated record
CCAAAGUGCUGGGAUUAUAGGCGUGAGCCACUGUGCCCAGCCAGCUUUGCCUUUCUUAACUCACAGUCUGAUGGCAGAGACAUGGCCUUGUCCACAGGAGCCCCCAGUCUGAUGGAGGAGUUGUGGGUCUCACUUCAGGAACUUCCAUUUGAUGGGAGAGAUGCGGCCCUACCUUGAAGGGUUCCCACUCUGAUGAAGGAGACAUAAACCUAUCUUUGGGAGUCUCCAGUCUGAUGGGGGAGGCAGGUCCAACCUUCAGAGGCCCCCUGUCUAAUGCAGGAGACAUAGCCUUGACUUCAAGCAUCCCAGAGUAAUGGAGGAGACACAGGCCUGCCUUCAAGGGUCCCCAGUCUGAAAAGGGAGGCAUAGUCCAAACUUCAAGCGUCCCCAGUCAGAUGGCAGAGGCAUGGUGUAAACUUCAAGGGCCCCAGUCCAACACGGAAGGCAUGGCCCCAACUAACUCACAAGGUCUCAAGUCUAUUAGAGGAGACGUGAGCCUUCCUUCUAGAGGCCCCUAUCUGAUGGGGGAGGCAUGAUCCAGCCCGUCCAGGACUCCAGUCUGACAUGCAGGCAAUUGCAGUGGAGUUGCAGUGGGGCAGAUAACCAAAGGCAUGGCCUUGGAACCUGGAGAUUCAAACCCGGGCCCUGUCCCUCCCUCACCCUGGAGGUUGAGAAGCCUCCCUUACCCAUAAAUGGGGCAGCAACAGAGCGUGUCCCCGGGGGUGUUUGUGGACCGAGUGGGUGGUGUCAUCCCAUUCCCAGAUAAGGAAACAGGCUCAGGGAGCUCCAGGUUCACACGGCGUGGGCCCCUCUUCUCCUGUAAGCCCAGGCUGGGGUGGCAGUGGGCUCCAGCGGAAGGGGAUCCCAUCACCCCUCCUCCCCAUCCCUCUGAUGUGCUCCGGCAGCCAGGCAGCCCCGGAGGAGUUGAUGGAGGAGAUCUCAGAUGAAGGCUGACAGCUCCCGAAGACAGGAUGACAGACGCGGGCUGGUGGGGAACGGUCUCGUCGUGUGCCAGGGUCUACUCAAGUGCCACCGCUCACGGAAUCAACCCAAACCGGGAGCCGACUCUACCUACGUGAGCCAGACCCCGAAGGUGCUCUGAGCCAGCUGUGAACACAGCGCAGGAAGCCGUGCUCCAGGAGAAGGAAGGAGCCUGAAUCCCUGAAUGGCUCCAUGGAGCAGAGCUGCCCGGAAGUCCUAGAGUGUCAGCCCAGGGCUCUUACAUGAUUGAGAAAUAAACUUCUAUGUUCUUUCUUUA